CCUACGGGAGGCAGCAGUGGGGAAUUUUGGACAAUGGGCGCAAGCCUGAUCCAGCAAUGCCGCGUGAGUGAAGAAGGCCUUCGGGUUGUAAAGCUCUUUUGUCAGGGAAGAAACGGUCUACUCUAAUACAGUGGGCUAAUGACGGUACCUGAAGAAUAAGCACCGGCUAACUACGUGCCAGCAGCCGCGGUAAUACGUAGGGUGCAAGCGUUAAUCGGAAUUACUGGGCGUAAAGCGUGCGCAGGCGGUUAUAUAAGUCAGAUGUGAAAUCCCCGGGCUCAACCUGGGAACUGCAUUUGAGACUGUAUGGCUAGAGUGUGUCAGAGGGGGGUAGAAUUCCACGUGUAGCAGUGAAAUGCGUAGAUAUGUGGAGGAAUACCGAUGGCGAAGGCAGCCCCCUGGGAUAACACUGACGCUCAUGCACGAAAGCGUGGGGAGCAAACAGGAUUAGAUACCCUGGUAGUCCACGCCCUAAACGAUGUCUACUAGUUGUCGGGACUUAAUUGUCUUGGUAACGCAGCUAACGCGUGAAGUAGACCGCCUGGGGAGUACGGUCGCAAGAUUAAAACUUAAAUGAAUUGACGG
RNAcentral lists this ribosomal RNA (585 nucleotides) under uncultured bacterium. RNAcentral's name for it is "bacterial SSU rRNA". It matches the Rfam family "Bacterial small subunit ribosomal RNA", at positions 338 to 916 of the family's 1533-position model. The record is from RNAcentral.